UACAGAGGGUGCAAGCGUUAAUCGGAAUUAUUGGGCGUAAAGCGCACGUAGGUGGAAUCGUAAGUUUGAUGUGAAAGCCCCGGGCUUAACCUGGGAAUUGCGUUGAAAACUGCGGAACUAGAGUCGGACAGAGGGUAGUGGAAUUUCCGGUGUAGCGGUGAAAUGCGUAGAGAUCGGAAAGAACACCAGUGGCGAAGGCGGCUACCUGGGUCCAGACUGACACUGAGGUGCGAAAGCAUGGGGAGCAAACAGG
Molecule: ribosomal RNA, 253 nt
Filed under: uncultured bacterium
Lineage: Bacteria
Description: partial 16S ribosomal RNA
Rfam family: Bacterial small subunit ribosomal RNA
Source: RNAcentral